RNA transcript from Ornithorhynchus anatinus (platypus), 597 nucleotides. It is a transcript of the gene named NADH:ubiquinone oxidoreductase subunit A11, with no coding region annotated. The record is from RefSeq and is a predicted model, not a curated record. The transcript is spliced from 5 exons. NCBI's taxonomy places the organism in Eukaryota, Metazoa, Chordata, Mammalia, Monotremata, Ornithorhynchidae.
GCGCGCUUCUCGCGAGAUUCCGCGCUGCCCUUGGCCGAAGGCGGAGGAGUCAUGGCGUCGAGGUUAGUGAAGGAAUAUUGGGAUAUCCCGGACGGCACCGACUGUCAUCGCAAGGCUUAUGUCACCACCAAGAUGGGCAGCGGCAUCGGUUUGAUUGCCUCGGCUUACAACCUUGUAUUUUACCCACCUGAGUCGCUCAUCGAAGGAAUGCAGAGGGCAGGGAAAUACACAUUUACCAUGGCUGCAGUCGGCGCAAUGUUUGGCAUUACUUCCUGUAUCAGUGCCCAGGUCCGGGAGAAACCAGAUGACCCCCUGAACUACUUCUUUGGCGGUUGUGCUGCAGGACUGACCUUCGGCGUGCGAAAGCAGGAGCGUAAUGAGGAGAAGACGCCUGACACCUGAAGUGAAGUUGAAGGGGCGAGGAAAAGGAAACUAAUCCCAGAAUGGCAUUCUUUUUGGCCUACCGUACCAGUGUCCUUUCUCCAUCUUCCUGGCCCUCUCUGGCUGAACUAAUGAGCUCGGACCCCUGUGUGUGAUAGGCAUUUUCAACCUGAAGACAGUGAGUGUUAAGCUUUUUAUCCUGCCAGCUGAAAUCUU